This 488-nucleotide ribosomal RNA is filed under the name Cryptosporidium parvum. Its description in RNAcentral is "SSU rRNA". It matches the Rfam family "Eukaryotic small subunit ribosomal RNA", at positions 364 to 883 of the family's 1831-position model. The record is from RNAcentral. Lineage: Eukaryota; Apicomplexa; Conoidasida; Eucoccidiorida; Cryptosporidiidae.
GGGGAAUUAGGGUUCGAUUCCGGAGAGGGAGCCUGAGAAACGGCUACCACAUCUAAGGAAGGCAGCAGGCGCGCAAAUUACCCAAUCCUAAUACAGGGAGGUAGUGACAAGAAAUAACAAUACAGGACUUUUUGGUUUUGUAAUUGGAAUGAGUUAAGUAUAAACCCCUUUACAAGUAUCAAUUGGAGGGCAAGUCUGGUGCCAGCAGCCGCGGUAAUUCCAGCUCCAAUAGCGUAUAUUAAAGUUGUUGCAGUUAAAAAGCUCGUAGUUGGAUUUCUGUUAAUAAUUUGUAUAAAAUAUUUUGAAUAUUUAUAUAACAUUAACAUAAUUCAUAUUACUAUAUUUUUUAGUAUAUGAAAUUUUACUUUGAGAAAAUUAGAGUGCUUAAAGCAGGCAUAUGCCUUGAAUACUCCAGCAUGGAAUAAAAUUAAAGAUUUUUAUCUUUUUUAUUGGUUCUAAGAUAAGAAUAAUGAUUAAUANGGACAGUG